Molecule: non-coding RNA, 805 nt
Filed under: Xyleus modestus
Lineage: Eukaryota; Metazoa; Arthropoda; Insecta; Orthoptera; Romaleidae
Description: small subunit ribosomal RNA
Rfam family: Microsporidia small subunit ribosomal RNA (bases 348-795)
Source: RNAcentral
UGAAAGUUUUAUUCUUGCUUGAGUGUUCAUUAUUUCUUUGUAUUAUAUGCAAGUUUUGUUAUACUAAAUGUUCUAUUCAUGCAGUAAUUAAAUUUAAUUAUCAAGUGAUUUUGGAAUUAGCAAUUGAUUGAGUUUCGGCAUAAUUCGUGCCAGCAGUCGCGGUUAAACGAUUGAUGCAAGUGAAUAUUGUCGGUUUGAGUAGUUAUCUUAUAUUUUUAGGAAUAUAUUUUUAUAUUUGUAAGGUGAAAUUUAAAAUUUUUUUAUGGUUCUUUUUGAGAGGCUAUGAAACUUAAAUAAUAAACUAGGAUUAGAUACCCUAUUAUUUUAAGCGUUAAUUAGGUUUACCUGGGUAGUGUUAGUUAAGAUCUUUAAACCCAAAGAAUUUGGCGGUAUCUCAUUCCGUUCAGAGGAACCUGCCCCGUGAUUGAUAGUACACGAUUAACUCUACUUAAUUUAUUUGUUUGUAUAUCUCCGUUAUCAGAAGAUCUUCUUAGAGUUAUAAUUUUCUUAAUUUAUAAUUGUGAAGUAUUUCAGGUCAAGGUGCAGCUUGUAGUUAAGAGGAGGUGGGUUACAAUAAAUUUUUAUUUAUUUACGGAUUAACAUUGAAAUAUUGUUAAUGAAGGUGGAUUUGAUAGUAAUUUAAUUUAUUUUAUUUAUUUGACUAUUGGCUCUGAGGUGUGCACACAUCGCCCGUCACUCUCAUUAUUGAUUUUGAUUAAAUUUAUAUAGAAAUUGGUCAUUCAAGCUAAAAUGAGAUAAGUCGUAACAUAGUAGAUGUACUGGAAAGUGUAUCUAGUAAGAUUAU